AUUGAACGCUGGCGGCAUGCCUUACACAUGCAAGUCGAACGGUAACGGGCCUUCGGGUGCCGACGAGUGGCGAACGGGUGAGUAAUGCAUCGGAACGUACCUUUCAGUGGGGGAUAACGUAGCGAAAGUUACGCUAAUACCGCAUAUUCUGUGAGCAGGAAAGCAGGGGAUCGCAAGACCUUGCGCUGAUUGAGCGGCCGAUGUCAGAUUAGCUAGUUGGUGAGGUAAAGGCUCACCAAGGCGACGAUCUGUAGCGGGUCUGAGAGGAUGAUCCGCCACACUGGAACUGAGACACGGUCCAGACUCCUACGGGAGGCAGCAGUGGGGAAUUUUGGACAAUGGGGGCAACCCUGAUCCAGCCAUGCCGCGUGAGUGAAGAAGGCCUUCGGUUGUAAAGCUCUGUUGUAAGGGACGAAUGUCGCGAUACAAUAAUACGGAUUGCGAAUGACGGUACCUUACCACGCAAGCCCCGGCUAACUACGUGCC
Molecule: ribosomal RNA, 486 nt
Filed under: uncultured bacterium
Lineage: Bacteria
Description: bacterial SSU rRNA
Rfam family: Bacterial small subunit ribosomal RNA
Source: RNAcentral